CCUACGGGUGGCAGCAGUGAGGAAUAUUGGUCAAUGGACGCAAGUCUGAACCAGCCAUACCGCGUGCAGGAAGACGGCUCUAUGAGUUGUAAGCUUCUUUUUUACGAGGGUAAACGCAGAUACGCAUAUCUGUCUGGAAGUAUCGUACGAAUAAAGAUCGGCUAAAUCCGUGCCAGCCGCCGCGGUAAUACGGAGGAUUCAAGCGUUAUCCGGAUUGAUUGGGUUUAAGGGGUGCGUAGGCGGUCGGAUAAGUUAGAGGUGAAAUCCCGAGGCUCAACUUCGGAAUUGCCUCUGAUACUGUUCGGCUAGAGAGUAGUGGCGGUAGGCGGAAUGCAUGGUGUAGCGGUGAAAUGCUUAGAGAUCAGACAGAACACCGAUGGCGAAGGCAGCUUACCAAGCUACUUCUGACGUUGAGGCACGAAAGCGUGGGGAGCAAACAGGAUUAGAUACCCGAGUAGUC
This 460-nucleotide ribosomal RNA is filed under the name uncultured bacterium. RNAcentral describes it as "partial 16S ribosomal RNA". It matches the Rfam family "Bacterial small subunit ribosomal RNA", at positions 338 to 795 of the family's 1533-position model. The record is from RNAcentral.